RNAcentral lists this ribosomal RNA (497 nucleotides) under uncultured bacterium. RNAcentral's name for it is "partial 16S ribosomal RNA". It matches the Rfam family "Bacterial small subunit ribosomal RNA", at positions 28 to 507 of the family's 1533-position model. The record is from RNAcentral.
GAUGAACGCUGGCGGCGUGCCUAAUACAUGCAAGUCGAGCGAACAGACGAGGAGCUUGCUCCUCUGACGUUAGCGGCGGACGGGUGAGUAACACGUGGAUAACCUACCUAUAAGACUGGGAUAACUUCGGGAAACCGGAGCUAAUACCGGAUAAUAUAUUGAACCGCAUGGUUCAAUAGUGAAAGACGGUUUUGCUGUCACUUAUAGAUGGAUCCGCGCCGCAUUAGCUAGUUGGUAAGGUAACGGGUUACCAAGGCAACGAUGCGUAGCCGACCUGAGAGGGGGACCGGCCCCACUGGAACUGGGACACGGUCCAGACGCCUACGGGAGGCAGCAGUAGGGAAUCUUCCGCAAUGGGCGAAAGCUUGACGGAGCAACGCCGCGUGAGUGAUGAAGGUCUUCGGAUCGUAAAACUCUGUUAUUAGGGAAGAACAAAUGUGUAAGUAACUAUGCACGUCUUGACGGUACCUAAUCAGAAAGCCACGGCUAACUACGUG